CAGGUGGUCAGGUAGAGAAUACCAAGGCGCUUGAGAGAACUCGGGUGAAGGAACUAGGCAAAAUGGUGCCGUAACUUCGGGAGAAGGCACGCUGAUAUGUAGGUGAAGUGAUUUACUCAUGGAGCUGAAAUCAGUCGAAGAUACCAGCUGGCUGCAACUGUUUAUUAAAAACACAGCACUGUGCAAACACGAAAGUGGACGUAUACGGUGUGACGCCUGCCCGGUGCCGGAAGGUUAAUUGAUGGGGUUAUCCCUCGGGAGAAGCUCUUGAUCGAAGCCCCGGUAAACGGCGGCCGUAACUAUAACGGUCCUAAGGUAGCGAAAUUCCUUGUCGGGUAAGUUCCGACCUGCACGAAUGGCGUAAUGAUGGCCAGGCUGUCUCCACCCGAGACUCAGUGAAAUUGAACUCGCUGUGAAGAUGCAGUGUACCCGCGGCAAGACGGAAAGACCCCGUGAACCUUUACUAUAGCUUGACACUGAACACUGGUCCUUGAUGUGUAGGAUAGGUGGGAGGCUUUGAAGUGUGGACGCCAGUCUGCAUGGAGCCGCCCUUGAAAUACCACCCUUUAAUGGCUGGUGUUCUAACGUGGGCCCGUAAUCCGGGUUGCGGACAGUGUCUGGUGGGUAGUUUGACUGGGGCGGUCUCCUCCUAAAGAGUAACGGAGGAGCACGAAGGUCAGCUAAUCCUGGUCGGACAUCAGGAGGUUAGUGCAAUGGCAUAAGCUGGCUUGACUGCGAGCGUGACGGCGCGAGCAGGUGCGAAAGCAGGUCAUAGUGAUCCGGUGGUUCUGAAUGGAAGGGCCAUCGCUCAACGGAUAAAAGGUACUCCGGGGAUAACAGGCUGAUACCGCCCAAGAGUUCAUAUCGACGGCGGUGUUUGGCACCUCGAUGUCGGCUCAUCACAUCCUGGGGCUGAAGUAGGUCCCAAGGGUAUGGCUGUUCGCCAUUUAAAGUGGUACGCGAGCUGGGUUUAGAACGUCGUGAGACAGUUCGGUCCCUAUCUGCCGUGGGCGCUGGAGAACUGAGGGGGGCUGCUCCUAGUACGAGAGGACCGGAGUGGACGCAUCACUGGUGUUCGGGUUGUCAUGCCAAUGGCACUGCCCGGUAGCUAAAUGCGGAAGAGAUAAGUGCUGAAAGCAUCUAAGCACGAAACUUGCC
RNAcentral lists this ribosomal RNA (1158 nucleotides) under Citrobacter koseri. RNAcentral's name for it is "partial 23S ribosomal RNA". It matches the Rfam family "Bacterial large subunit ribosomal RNA", at positions 1660 to 2798 of the family's 2925-position model. The record is from RNAcentral. Lineage: Bacteria; Pseudomonadati; Pseudomonadota; Gammaproteobacteria; Enterobacterales; Enterobacteriaceae.